AUAAACGCUGGCGGCGUGCCUUAUGCAUGCAAGUCGAACGGUUUUGAUUUAUCAGAACAGUGGCGAAUGGGUGAGUAACGCGUUGGUAACCUGCCCUGAAGUGGGGGAUAACCUGGAGAAAUCCGGGCUAAUACCGCAUGUGGUGAUAAGACAAAAGUCUUAUCACUAAAGCCUUCGGGUGCUUGAGGAGGGGCCUGCGUCCGAUUAGCUAGUUGGUGAGGUAACGGCCCACCAAGGCUGAGAUCGGUAGCUGGUUUGAGAGGACGGCCAGCCACACUGGAACUGAGACACGGUCCAGACUCCUACGGGAGGCAGCAGCAAGGAAUCUUGGGCAAUGGGCGAAAGCCUGACCCAGCGACGCCGCGUGGAGGAAGAAGGCCUUCGGGUUGUAAACUCCUUUUCUCAGGGAAGAAUAAUGACGGUACCUGAGGAAUAAGUCUCGGCUAACUACGU
RNAcentral lists this ribosomal RNA (453 nucleotides) under uncultured bacterium. Its description in RNAcentral is "bacterial SSU rRNA". It matches the Rfam family "Bacterial small subunit ribosomal RNA", at positions 29 to 506 of the family's 1533-position model. The record is from RNAcentral.